UGGGGAAUAUUGCACAAUGGGCGAAAGCCUGAUGCAGCAACGCCGCGUGAGUGAUGAAGGCCUUCGGGUUGUAAAGCUCUGUCUUUUGGGACGAUAAUGACGGUACCAAAGGAGGAAGCCACGGCUAACUACGUGCCAGCAGCCGCGGUAAUACGUAGGUGGCAAGCGUUGUCCGGAUUUACUGGGCGUAAAGGAUGCGUAGGCGGAUUUUUAAGUGAGAUGUGAAAUACCCGGGCUUAACUUGGUGCUGCAUUUCAAACUGGGAAUCUAGAGUGCGGGAGAGGAGAAUGGAAUUCCUAGUGUAGCGGUGAAAUGCGUAGAGAUUAGGAAGAACACCAGUGGCGAAGGCGAUUCUCUGGACCGUAACUGACGCUGAGGCAUGAAAGCGUGGGUAGCAAACAGGAUUAGAUACCCUGGUAGUCCACGCCGUAAACGAUGAGUACUAGGUGUAGGAGGUAUCGACCCCUUCUGUGCCGCAGUUAACACAAUCAAGUACUCCGCCUGGGAAGUACGAUCGCAAGAUUAAAACUCAAAUGAAUUGACGGGGUC
RNAcentral lists this ribosomal RNA (549 nucleotides) under uncultured bacterium. RNAcentral describes it as "partial 16S ribosomal RNA". It matches the Rfam family "Bacterial small subunit ribosomal RNA", at positions 355 to 920 of the family's 1533-position model. The record is from RNAcentral.